RNAcentral lists this ribosomal RNA (233 nucleotides) under Escherichia coli. RNAcentral's name for it is "partial 23S ribosomal RNA". It matches the Rfam family "Bacterial large subunit ribosomal RNA", at positions 1 to 225 of the family's 2925-position model. RNAcentral also lists the same sequence under 1 other name. Lineage: Bacteria; Pseudomonadati; Pseudomonadota; Gammaproteobacteria; Enterobacterales; Enterobacteriaceae. The record is from RNAcentral.
GGGUUGUGAGGUUAAGCGACUAAGCGUACACGGUGGAUGCCCUGGCAGUCAGAGGCGAUGAAGGACGUGCUAAUCUGCGAUAAGCGUCGGUAAGGUGAUAUGAACCGUUAUAACCGGCGAUUUCCGAAUGGGGAAACCCAGUGUGUUUCGACACACUAUCAUUAACUGAAUCCAUAGGUUAAUGAGGCGAACCGGGGGAACUGAAACAUCUAAGUACCCCGAGGAAAAGAAAU